GCAAGUCGAACGAUGAAGCCUUUCGGGGUGGAUUAGUGGCGAACGGGUGAGUAACACGUGGGCAAUCUGCCCUUCACUCUGGGACAAGCCCUGGAAACGGGGUCUAAUACCGGAUAACACUCUGUCCUGCAUGGGACGGGGUUAAAAGCUCCGGCGGUGAAGGAUGAGCCCGCGGCCUAUCAGCUUGUUGGUGGGGUAAUGGCCUACCAAGGCGACGACGGGUAGCCGGCCUGAGAGGGCGACCGGCCACACUGGGACUGAGACACGGCCCAGACUCCUACGGGAGGCAGCAGUGGGGAAUAUUGCACAAUGGGCGAAAGCCUGAUGCAGCGACGCCGCGUGAGGGAUGACGGCCUUCGGGUUGUAAACCUCUUUCAGCAGGGAAGAAGCGAAAGUGACGGUACCUGCAGAAGAAGCGCCGGCUAACUACGUGCCAGCAGCCGCGGUAAUACGUAGGGCGCAAGCGUUGUCCGGAAUUAUUGGGCGUAAAGAGCUCGUAGGCGGCUUGUCACGUCGGAUGUGAAAGCCCGGGGCUUAACCCCGGGUCUGCAUUCGAUACGGGCUAGCUAGAGUGUGGUAGGGGAGAUCGGAAUUCCUGGUGUAGCGGUGAAAUGCGCAGAUAUCAGGAGGAACACCGGUGGCGAAGGCGGAUCUCUGGGCCAUUACUGACGCUGAGGAGCGAAAGCGUGGGGAGCGAACAGGAUUAGAUACCCUGGUAGUCCACGC
RNAcentral lists this ribosomal RNA (726 nucleotides) under Streptomyces sp. YIM023. Its description in RNAcentral is "bacterial SSU rRNA". It matches the Rfam family "Bacterial small subunit ribosomal RNA", at positions 57 to 800 of the family's 1533-position model. Lineage: Bacteria; Bacillati; Actinomycetota; Actinomycetes; Kitasatosporales; Streptomycetaceae. The record is from RNAcentral.